UACAGAGGAUGCGAGCGUUAAUCGGAAUUACUGGGCGUAAAGCGCGCGUAGGCGGCUUUGCAAGUCGGGUGUGAAAUCCCCAGGCUUAACCUGGGAACUGCAUUCGAGACUGCAUUGCUAGAGUAUGGGAGAGGGAAGUGGAAUUUCCGGUGUAGCGGUGAAAUGCGUAGAUAUCGGAAGGAACAUCAGUGGCGAAAGCGACUUCCUGGACCAAUACUGACGCUCAUGUGCGAAAGCGUGGGGAGCAAACAGG
This 253-nucleotide ribosomal RNA is filed under the name uncultured bacterium. RNAcentral describes it as "partial 16S ribosomal RNA". It matches the Rfam family "Bacterial small subunit ribosomal RNA", at positions 524 to 776 of the family's 1533-position model. The record is from RNAcentral.